UAUGGUCACUGCUGUGACACGGGUUGGAUCUUCCUAUGCCACAGCAGUGACAAUGC
RNAcentral lists this non-coding RNA (56 nucleotides) under Sus scrofa (pig). Lineage: Eukaryota; Metazoa; Chordata; Mammalia; Artiodactyla; Suidae. The record is from RNAcentral.